This 253-nucleotide ribosomal RNA is filed under the name uncultured bacterium. RNAcentral's name for it is "partial 16S ribosomal RNA". It matches the Rfam family "Bacterial small subunit ribosomal RNA", at positions 524 to 776 of the family's 1533-position model. The record is from RNAcentral.
UACAGAGGUCCCAAGCGUUGUUCGGAUUCACUGGGCGUAAAGGGUGCGUAGGCGGUUAGGUAAGUCUGAUGUGAAAUCUCCGGGCUCAACCCGGAAACUGCAUUGGAUACUAUCUAGCUAGAGGUUUGGAGGGGGGACUGGAAUUCUCGGUGUAGCAGUGAAAUGCGUAGAUAUCGAGAGGAACACCAGUGGCGAAGGCGGGUCCCUGGACAACACCUGACGCUGAGGCACGAAAGUCGGGGGAGCAAACAGG